AGAAAUAAUUUACUAUACAGACAUACAUCUUUAUAAUAUUUGUUCUAACUGUGAUAAAAAGAGAGAUUGUGGACUAUCGAUUUCCUACAUAAUUAUGAACGGGUCUUACUAUUUUGAUCUGUACAAGUGUGAACUCACUUAGAUUAUAAAACAUAAUCCAAACUCACUUAGAUUGUGCCAAACCCUAUUUUCUUUUUAAAAGUUGGGGAGUAAAAGCUAUGAAUGUAUUUCUGAAUCAAUCUUUUCUAAGUUACAUAGCAUUUGGUUUGAGGGUAAUGUGACUUCUAUAUUUUGGUUACAUUAACCUGUAUCAUUUAUGGCUAUGUAGAUACAUACAUGCUGUCCGGAAGAGUAGGACUUUGGUAUAACAAACUGUUUAUUCUCAUAUUAAGAUUUGGAGGUUGAAUUGAAUUAAUAUUGGGGGCUGUCCAUUUUAAUUUGAGUGCACAUUAUGUGUUAACAUGAUGGGUCUGUUAAAAUCUCUCCCCCUACUUCCCAAUAAUCUUCCCCCCCCCAAACUAGAAAUGCAAUUCAUACUAACUCAAAUAAACUGGGUAUUGUUAAUUAAUGUUUGCUAAGCGUGAAUAAUGAAACUUAUGAUUGAUAUGCUUCUGUAGGUUGUCUGGUACCUAGAAACAAGGAUGGCAUGGCAUCUAAAAACGCAUGUGUGAAGAGAAUAUUAGACCUGUUAAUACUUUAAAGUUAGAAAAUUCAGCUUUUGGGAAAUGCUACUUUAAAGUUAGAAAAUUCAGUUAGAAUAUUAGACCUGCUACUAGAUUAUGGUGCUUUCUCUACCAGUUAUUAUGUUCUCUCUAGGAUAAGUAAAUCGAAAAAUCAAUGUCUUCAGUUGCUCUGUUACAAUGUAUAUAUAAAAUGACUAUAUUUAAUUUCAUGAGCAAUUGUAGAAAAAACUUAAAGAGCGGGAGAAUGAAGCCAUAGAAGAUGGAUCUGGCCCACUAUCUGAUGAGCAGCUUUCCAUUGAGGUGUUUGGGCGUUAGUCUGGCUACAUAAGUGGUUUAGGACGUGGUCCUAAACCUAGUACAACAGCAUCUAGUUGACGUACUCGUGCUGCUCUUGAGAUAGAAAAUGAGGAAAUUAGAAAGGAGCUUGAAGAGCAACGAAGAAUCAAUGAGGAACUGAAUGCAAGAGUGCACAACUUGGAGUCUAAUAGCGUAGAGGUCAAUGCCAAGAUUGAUUUGGUGCUGCAACAGAUUAGUCGGGGAGGUUUUACUUCUGAUUUACGAUUAUAGGAUGUCCAAAGGGUGUCACACCUAAGUACAGCUUGAAGCCUCUUGUGCCAAGCCUGUCUGAUAUAAAGCCUGAUAUUGAUGUUGAGAAAAUGCUUUUUUAGAUAUUUUCUUUGAAGAAACUAUUGUUGCUAUUCUUCAUUUGAACUGUUACUACUUUGAUUUGAAUUUGGAAACUUUCAGUUUUAAUUUUUGUCAAAUUUACUUUCUAUAUACUCAUUAUGGUUUGGGAAUAGAGUGGGUUUGAUAUGUGAAUGUCAA
Camellia sinensis is the source of this 1508-nucleotide non-coding RNA. The record is from RefSeq and is a predicted model, not a curated record. Lineage: Eukaryota; Viridiplantae; Streptophyta; Magnoliopsida; Ericales; Theaceae.